Molecule: unclassified non-coding RNA, 343 nt
Filed under: soil metagenome
Description: partial contains 5.8S ribosomal RNA, internal transcribed spacer 2, and large subunit ribosomal RNA
Rfam family: 5.8S ribosomal RNA (bases 1-120)
Source: RNAcentral
GAUGAAGAACGCAGUGAAAUGCGAUAAGUAAUGUGAAUUGCAGAAUUCAGUGAAUCAUCGAAUCUUUGAACGCACAUUGCGCCCGCUAGUAUUCUGGCGGGCAUGUCUGUCCGAGCGUCAUUUCAACCCUCAAGCCCCCGGGCUUGGUGUUGGGGAUCGGCGAGCCUCCGCGCCCGCCGUCCCCUAAAUCUAGUGGCGGUCUCGCUGUAGCUUCCUCUGCGUAGUAGCACACCUCGCACUGGGAAACAGCGCGGCCACGCCGUUAAACCCCCAACUUCUGAACGUUUGACCUCGGAUCAGGUAGGAAUACCCGCUGAACUUAAGCAUAUCAAUAAGCGGAGGA